UGGAGGGAGAGGACUUUGAGGAGGUAGAGGAGCAAGGAACAAUCCAGAGAGACACAAAGAAGAGCAAAACAAGGAAGAGAGUUGCUGCUGCAGGAGGUCUGUGAGGUUAUUUCUGGACUGGGUGUGCACUCAUUGCUCAGUGGCAGAUAUUUCUGCUUUUGUGCUUCUUGGACAGCAAUUGGAAUCAUGUCUAGGAGAGCAGUGGAGUAGAGAGCCAGACACUGGCAGUGGUGGUGUCAGUUUUGCUACAGUGUCAGUCCUGCUCACUUUCAAUGCUUGACAGGGAAGUGAAAAAUCUCUGAGAAGCAGCUGAGAUGACUCCCUUGUGGAUGGCACAUCCCUGGAGAAGAGAUGGAGAAGUAAGGCCAAGCCAGGCUGAAGGUGACUGACAGCAAAAUAGAUGCAAGAGAUUGUCAAAGAUCCUAAACCUGCACUAAUCAGCACAGAUGAUGGGUGAUUUCAGAGACAAAACUCUCUUGGGAGUGACCAUGUCAGUGUGCUGCUGUUGUGAAUCAUCUUUAGAACCUUCUCCACUGAGUGUGAAGGACAUCCCCUCCAUUAAGGGGUUUGGUGGUUUGCUUAAGUCAACCCUGCUGUGUUCAGCAGGUUUGUACUGAAGAGAAAGUCUGCUGGAUUUCAAGAUACUGCCAUUAAAGCAGCAAAGCUCUCGGAAAUGGAAUAAUCUCAAGGGUCAGAUUUUCUUAUGACCAAGAUCUCCCAGAAGCAACACACCUGUGAUUUGGUGAAAACUGAAAGACCAUCAGGACUGGCACAUCCUCAGCCAUGUGUGGCUCUGAAGCCCCUGGAGAGACCCUGACCCCCAAAGCAGAGGAACCAGCUCCAGGAGCUCCAUUUUUAGGACCAGUUGUCUAAUAAAGUGUGCUGGAGACUACACAGGAGGAGAGAGGGAACAUGGAAAUAGAACAGAUAUCACUCCUUGCAGAGCCUUGUCAGUGCGUGGGGGACUUGUCUGGGCAGAGUUUAUGGCAAGAUGAAGUGACAAAAAGUAAAUAAAUGCUUGGACUAAAAAGCUUUUGGAAACCAGAAAGUCAAAAAAGUUUCUGUAUUGGCAGACCCACUGCCAUGCUGGUGAGAUGCCAGAGAGCCUAGGAGGGCUCCAAGCUCUUCACUCCUGGGCUUAGGAGGAACCACCUCUGCAGAAUAUGAACUUGAAAACAAAGCUGCAAACAGAGUGGGAGCAUGUCUUUGACUUCCCUUCAUACCUGUACACAGAGUCCUUUCCACAGUCCUAUGAGUUCCCUGGAAAUGCUUUGCAGCCUUCCAUGCCUGGCCAGGUCUUUACAGCCCUGGACAUAGUCAAGCAGAGCUUUGAAGGUGACCUGCUUAGACAAACUGUAUGAACUCUGGAAACAAUGGAAAUAGCUUCCAGCUUGGCUCCCCUGCCCCUGAAAUCUCCUGGAGCUUCUUACCCUGAGCUGGCUCAGCAGCUUUUGAGAGAAGAUGCUGCUCCCUCUCUUCUUCCUGACCCGUUGAUUUCUGGAAGAAAUUAAAAAAAAAUUUAUAAAAGCAUGUAAUCAGAAAAUUACUCCCUUGGGAAGUUAGAGGGCAUCGUGUCUGAAGAGAUUUGGCCUCUCAGAAAUGCAGCCCAACUUCUGAUCAGACUGAGAUUUGUGGGCAGGCACUAGCCAGGUAAGGACAGCUGUCAAUGGCUGUUGGUUGAACUCUGCAGUGCACCUGCAGAGACCAAGGAAAACCAAGUUCACGUCUGCUACACAAUAGUUACCGCUCGGGAUGCUUUGCCAUUUAUCCAGAAAUAUGCAUAACCCUCCUGGGGAAGUGUCACUGAGUGAGAUGGAAGGGCUAAAAACCCAUUAGUGCUCUAGUAAAUCUACUCUGAAGACAGUAAGGGCUAAUCCGACCUAUUGAGGUCUACAAUAUUGCCCUGGGCAGAUGAUUUAGAGUGCCUUCAAGUGCCAGUGCAGAUCAUUGCUGCUGCCCAGGGGUCAGGGGGGCACAGCCCCGGUUGCUCAGUUUGCAGAGCAGUGGCAAUUGAAUUCUUGGUUUCAGUCACAGCCAGAGGUUUUUCAUUUGACUUUUACUUCUUUUCUUUUCUAAACUUUAAUAACAUGAGUUAAUCACCUAAGUCAGAUUUCUGCCUGCUCUGU
This is a long non-coding RNA of Passer domesticus (house sparrow), 2126 nucleotides long. RefSeq lists it as uncharacterized. The record is from RefSeq and is a predicted model, not a curated record. NCBI's taxonomy places the organism in Eukaryota, Metazoa, Chordata, Aves, Passeriformes, Passeridae. The transcript has 11 exons.